RNAcentral lists this ribosomal RNA (488 nucleotides) under uncultured Corynebacterium sp. Its description in RNAcentral is "partial 16S ribosomal RNA". Lineage: Bacteria; Bacillati; Actinomycetota; Actinomycetes; Mycobacteriales; Corynebacteriaceae. The record is from RNAcentral.
CACGUAGUUAGCCGGUGCUUCUUAUCCAGGUACCGUCACCCGAAGGCUUCUUCCCUAGCAAAAGAGGUUUACAACCCGAAGGCCGUCAUCCCUCACGCGGCGUCGCUGCAUCAGGCUUCCGCCCAUUGUGCAAUAUUCCCCACUGCUGCCUCCCGUAGGAGUCUGGGCCGUGUCUCAGUCCCAAUGUGGCCGUCCACCCUCUCAGGCCGGCUACCCGUCGUCGCCUUGGUAGGCCAUUACCCCACCAACAAGCUGAUAGGCCGCGGGCUCAUCCUCCACCGAAAAAACUUUCCACCAACCACACUAAAGAUUGGUCCUAUCCGGUAUUAGACCCAGUUUCCCAGGCUUAUCCCGAAGUGAAGGGCAGAUCACCCACGUGUUACUCACCCGUUCGCCACUCGAGUACCCCUGCAAGCAGGGGCCUUUCGUUCGACUUGCAUGUGUUAAGCACGCCGCCAGCGUUCGUCCUGAGCCAGGAUCGAAACUCU